CGAGAAAACUUUGCAAUGUGCGAAAGCACGACAAGGUUAAUCCGAGUGGUUUCUGCUAAAGGAACCUUUUGUCGGUCCUAGAAACACCGAUGAAUAAGGGGUGGGCAAGUUCUGGUGUCAGCCGCCGCGGUAAAACCAGCACCUCAAGUGGUCAGGAUGAUUAUUGGGCCUAAAGCAUCCGUAGCCUGCUUUGUUAGUUUUCGGUUAAAUCUAUACGCUCAACGUAUAGGCUGCCGGGAAUACUGCAAAGCUAGGGAGUGGGAGAGGUAGACGGUACUCGGUAGGAAGGGGUAAAAAUCCUUUGAUCUAUUGAUGACCACCUGUGGCGAAGGCGGUCUACCAGAACACGUUCGACGGUGAGGGAUGAAAGCUGGGGGAGCAAACCGGAUUAGAUACCCGGGUAGUCCCAGCUGUAAACGAUGCAGACUCGGUGAUGCCCUGGCUUGUGGCCAGUGCAGUGCCGCAGGGAAGCCGUU
Molecule: ribosomal RNA, 476 nt
Filed under: uncultured Nitrososphaerota archaeon
Lineage: Archaea; Thermoproteati; Nitrososphaerota
Description: bacterial SSU rRNA
Rfam family: Archaeal small subunit ribosomal RNA
Source: RNAcentral